RNAcentral lists this ribosomal RNA (339 nucleotides) under uncultured bacterium. RNAcentral describes it as "bacterial SSU rRNA". It matches the Rfam family "Bacterial small subunit ribosomal RNA", at positions 527 to 864 of the family's 1533-position model. The record is from RNAcentral.
GUAUGGAGCAAGCGUUAUCCGGAUUUACUGGGUGUAAAGGGAGUGUAGGUGGCCAGGCAAGUCAGAAGUGAAAGCCCGGGGCUCAACCCCGGGACUGCUUUUGAAACUGCAGGGCUAGAGUGCAGGAGGGGCAAGUGGAAUUCCUAGUGUAGCGGUGAAAUGCGUAGAUAUUAGGAGGAACACCAGUGGCGAAGGCGGCUUGCUGGACUGUAACUGACACUGAGGCUCGAAAGCGUGGGGAGCAAACAGGAUUAGAUACCCUGGUAGUCCACGCUGUAAACGAUGAAUACUAGGUGUCGGGGCACAUAAGUGCUCCGGUGCCGCAGCAAACGCAAUAAG